This is a non-coding RNA of Podiceps cristatus (great crested grebe), 45 nucleotides long. The record is from Rfam. NCBI's taxonomy places the organism in Eukaryota, Metazoa, Chordata, Aves, Podicipediformes, Podicipedidae.
AAAAAGGCUCUUUUCAGAGCCACCCACAGUGAUCAUGAAGAGUUG